This 946-nucleotide ribosomal RNA is filed under the name Dothideomycetes sp. JX-2021a. Its description in RNAcentral is "partial large subunit ribosomal RNA". It matches the Rfam family "Eukaryotic large subunit ribosomal RNA", at positions 77 to 1427 of the family's 3401-position model. The record is from RNAcentral. Lineage: Eukaryota; Fungi; Ascomycota; Dothideomycetes.
GCCUCAGUAACGGCGAGUGAAGUGGCAACAGCUCAAAUUUGAAAUCUGGCACACGUCCGAGUUGUAAUUUGCAGAGGAGGCUUUGGAGUCGCCCCCGGUCCGAGUUCCUUGGAACAGGACGUCGCAGAGGGUGAGAAUCCCGUACAUGGCCGGGCGGCUUCUCCCUGCAAGGCCCCUUCGACGAGUCGAGUUGUUUGGGAAUGCAGCUCUAAAUGGGAGGUAAAUUUCUUCUAAAGCUAAAUACCGGCCAGAGACCGAUAGCGCACAAGUAGAGUGAUCGAAAGAUGAAAAGCACUUUGAAAAGAGAGUCAAAAAGUACGUGAAAUUGUUGAAAGGGAAGCGUUUGCAGCCAGACUUGGCGGCAGUUGCUCAGCCGGUCUCUGCCCGGUGCACUCUCCUGCUGACAGGCCAGCAUCAGUUUGGGCGGCUUGAUAAAGGCAUUGGGAACGUGGCUCCUCGGAGUGUUAUAGCCCUCUGCACAAUGCGGCCAGCCUGGACUGAGGACCGCGGUUCACGGAUGCUGGCUUAAUGGCUGCCAACGGCCCGUCUUGAAACACGGACCAAGGAGUCUAACAUCCAUGCGAGUGUUUGGGUGUCAAACCCGUACGCGUAAUGAAAGUGAACGGAGGUGGGAGCCUUAACCGGCGCACCAUCGACCGAUCCCGAUGUCUUCGGAAGGAUUUGAGUAUGAGCAUGGCUGUUGGGACCCGAAAGAUGGUGAACUAUGCCUGAAUAGGGUGAAGCCAGAGGAAACUCUGGUGGAGGCUCGCAGCGGUUCUGACGUGCAAAUCGAUCGUCAAAUUUGGGUAUAGGGGCGAAAGACUAAUCGAACCAUUCACCGAGAUUUUUUAGUUGUCUACUAGGUGGUUUAGAUGUAAUGUGAAUGGAGUCCAAAGGGGCGACACUAUCCAAUUGCGGGGACUCUCGUUAAUCUUAGGGACCUGGG